UACGUAGGUGGCAAGCGUUGUCCGGAUUUACUGGGCGUAAAGCGCCCGCAGGCGGCCUGUCAAGUUCGAGGUGAAAUCUCCCGGCUUAACUGGGAGGGUGCCUCGAAAACUGGCAGGCUUGAGGUGUGGAGAGGGAUGCAGAAUUCCUGGUGUAGCGGUGAAAUGCGUAGAUAUCUGGAGGAACACCGGUGGCGAAGGCGCCCACCUGGCCUGCUACUGACGCUGAAGCUCGAAAGCUAGGGGAGCAAACGGG
Molecule: ribosomal RNA, 253 nt
Filed under: uncultured bacterium
Lineage: Bacteria
Description: partial 16S ribosomal RNA
Rfam family: Bacterial small subunit ribosomal RNA
Source: RNAcentral